AUGAAUUGUUACGUGUUGCCUUACGCAAUCUUCCUCUCAUUCUCGGGGUGGGCCCCCUCCCCCGUGUUCCAAUCAAAUAUUGCCAAGUCAUACAAGCACAUCCAAUGCGUCACCGCCUCCUCCUUGAUCCAGAUUGACACGCCGGCUCUCUCACCUUGCCGGCAGGUCCCUCCACCGUCGCCGCCCCCUCCUCUCCCUGCCCCAGCCACCCUCCCUUCCGCCACCCCCGCCUGCUCUGCCGACAGCAGCAGCAACCCGCUGCUCGCCGACUUUGACUUCCCGCCCUUCGACCGCGUCGAGCCCGCGCACGUCCGUCCCGGGAUCCGCGCGCUCCUCGCCCGCCUCGAGGGCGAGCUGGAGGAGCUCAAGAAGGGCGUGGAGCCGGUGUGGGAGUGCUUGGUCCACCCGCUCGAGCGCAUCGUCGAUAGGCUUGACAUCGUCUGGAACGGCGUCGACCACAUCAAGGCCGUCAAGGACUCGCCCAACCUCCGUGCCGCCGUCGAGGACGUCCAGAUAGAAAUUUUGCAUAGAUCCUGGUCUCGUGCUUGCACCUUUGGUCCACAUGGUUUUUGUGGGGAUAUGGUACCGGACUGGAGCAUACAGGCUAAUGAUUUCUGGAUGCAUAUAGAUUGUGGAUGCCAUGUCUAA
Molecule: ribosomal RNA, 648 nt
Filed under: Triticum aestivum (bread wheat)
Lineage: Eukaryota; Viridiplantae; Streptophyta; Magnoliopsida; Poales; Poaceae
Description: partial small subunit ribosomal RNA
Source: RNAcentral